GCGGCCGUAACUCAGCGGUAGAGUGUCACGUUGCCAACGUGAAUGUCGAGGGUUCGAUCCCCUUCGGCCGCUCCA
Molecule: transfer RNA, 75 nt
Filed under: Agrobacterium salinitolerans
Lineage: Bacteria; Pseudomonadati; Pseudomonadota; Alphaproteobacteria; Hyphomicrobiales; Rhizobiaceae
Description: tRNA-Gly
Rfam family: tRNA
About the family: Transfer RNA (tRNA) molecules are approximately 80 nucleotides in length.
Source: RNAcentral